This 253-nucleotide unclassified non-coding RNA is filed under the name Hevea brasiliensis (rubber tree). Lineage: Eukaryota; Viridiplantae; Streptophyta; Magnoliopsida; Malpighiales; Euphorbiaceae. The record is from RNAcentral.
GAAGUGGGACGGAUAUGAGUGACUUAGAAUCUGAGGCAGAACCACAGAUUCCUGCUCCUACUGCUCCUGCAAAAGACAAGGCAAAAACAGCUCAAAAAGAACAAAGAAGGAAGCAAAAAGAGGAAACUGGUAAACCAUCUGGCAAAAAGGCUAAAACUGGUAAAAAAUUGACAGCAGAAUCUGAUACUACUGCUGCAACUGAGUUAGCAGCUGGCCCCAUUAUUCCCUCGACACCAGGAACUGAAAUGGCUGC